UCAGGAGGGCAGGGGAUCGCUUCCGGUCAUGAGCCGGGGGAGGAAAGUCCGAACUCCACAGGGCGCGAUGCCGCGUAAUAUUGUUUUUGAACAGUAGUACACGCGGGCGGUAUGCUUGCAAAAUCAUAUUGACGGCCAGUGCAGCAGAAAACAGACCGCCUUGCUUCGGCUUGGUAAGGGUGAAAAGGUGGGGUAAGAGCCCACCGCUCAAGGAGUAAUCCGCGAGGCACGGUAAACCCCAUCGGGUGCAAGGCCAAAUAGGGAACCUCGGAGCUGCCCGCUCUAUCAUGGUUCCGGGUAGGGCCGCUAAGAUAAAUGAUCCUCUCUCCUGAUUUAUCAGGAUAGACAAAAUUCGGCUUAUCGCCCUCUUGAAACC
RNAcentral lists this RNase P RNA (376 nucleotides) under Verrucomicrobiota bacterium. RNAcentral's name for it is "Verrucomicrobia bacterium RNase P RNA component class A". It matches the Rfam family "Bacterial RNase P class A". Rfam says of the family: Ribonuclease P (RNase P) is a ubiquitous endoribonuclease, found in archaea, bacteria and eukarya as well as chloroplasts and mitochondria. Its best characterised activity is the generation of mature 5'-ends of tRNAs by cleaving the 5'-leader elements of precursor-tRNAs. The record is from RNAcentral. Lineage: Bacteria; Pseudomonadati; Verrucomicrobiota.